Long non-coding RNA from Rhagoletis pomonella (apple maggot), 1008 nucleotides. RefSeq lists it as uncharacterized. Lineage: Eukaryota; Metazoa; Arthropoda; Insecta; Diptera; Tephritidae. The record is from RefSeq and is a predicted model, not a curated record. The transcript is spliced from 3 exons.
UGACAUGCCAAUUGGUCCAGUUAAAUCAAUAGAUAUUCUGUUAAAUUGUCUUAAACAACAGCAUUAAAUCCCGUUAGGUAAUGCUUUGUAUACGUGCGUGUGUUUGGCAACUGAGACGCAGUCAUUCGUAUUUAUAUUUGCAAAGAAUUGUGUUAAUAAGUGUGUGCGGACCCGCGAGUAAUUAUAUUCAAAUUAUUAAUUUCGCUUCUAAUUUGCAAAGAAAUAUAUAUUUUAUUGACUUAUAAAGUGUGUGCGGGUAAAUAAAUGUAAAUUAUUUGAUAACAUGAACGUCGGAAAUAGUGAUUUUGAUAUAUUUAUAUGUGAAAGCAAGGAAGUGGAGGAAGACGAAAAACUUCUAUGUUUGCUUUAAAAGUAGUUUGUUUCCAACUACUUUGUCAAUUGAUUAAUUUCUGAGACAACGUUGUUAUUUCCGACAGGGCAAGCUUCUUGAAGUUUCGUUCAUUUUUUUGUUCAUGCUUGUCUUUGCAUUAAUUGAAAAAAUACUUCGCAAGUUUUGUAACGAAAAAUACGGGCAAAAAGUUAUAAUUUUAAGUUUAGACAGACAAUAAGUGUACACCUGUUAAAUAACUCACAUACAUAUACAUAAAUUUUUAAAUAUACAGAUGCCAGCGUGGGAAUAGAAGAAUUGCGAUAUCUUACUGAAAGCGACUUGAACAAAAUUUUCCCUUCAGUGGAAGUAGUGGGCACUAAAGCGAAAUUGCGUGAAAAAAAUCAAAUUGUGGAAAAAACAGGAGUUUGGUGAAGGUGACGAUGUAACGACAGCGAUCCAAAAAGUCAGUGAGUGGAUUAAGCAAAACGAAAGUCUCGCAUCCUGUUAUUCGCCCUCAAGUGCAACACCAACUUCACACGAUUCAUUUGAGGUUGAUAUUCAAAAUAUAUUGCAACAUUAUCCUCGGGGAAAAGAUUCCCUUGAGUAUUAUGAAGAUCAAAAAACGCUCACACCUUACCACCAGCAAAGUAUUGCGAACUGUGUUAUUGACCAUUACU